This is a long non-coding RNA of Mauremys reevesii (Reeves's turtle), 248 nucleotides long. RefSeq lists it as uncharacterized. The transcript is spliced from 3 exons. Lineage: Eukaryota; Metazoa; Chordata; Testudines; Geoemydidae. The record is from RefSeq and is a predicted model, not a curated record.
CUGAUGCAGCAAACCCAGAGGUGCUCGGGCUAUGAACUGCCAUGCUUAGAGGUGCUGGGAGAGGUGCUCAGGCCUGGCACAGAUUAAGCACUGUGUUUAGUAAAGAUGACUGCAUGACCAAUACCAUGGCUCCAAUUCAGUAAUUACCGUUCUCCAGGGAUAACUAAGUUCACCAGAAGCAAUGAUGUAAGACUGUGCAAAAGAAUAUCAAUGCUCAGUUUUAUUUAGUUGUAUUAUCUAUAUUCCAC